RNAcentral lists this ribosomal RNA (476 nucleotides) under uncultured bacterium. Its description in RNAcentral is "partial 16S ribosomal RNA". It matches the Rfam family "Bacterial small subunit ribosomal RNA", at positions 28 to 507 of the family's 1533-position model. The record is from RNAcentral.
GACGAACGCUGGCGGCGUGCCUAAUACAUGCCAGUUGAGCGCUGAAGGUUGGUACUUGUACCAACUGGAUGAGCAGCGAACGGGUGAGUAACGCGUGGGGAAUCUGCCUUUGAGCGGGGGACAACAUUUGGAAACGAAUGCUAAUACCGCAUAAAAACUUUAAACACAAGUUUUAAGUUUGAAAGAUGCAAUUGCAUCACUCAAAGAUGAUCCCGCGUUGUAUUAGCUAGUUGGUGAGGUAAAGGCUCACCAAGGCGAUGAUGGGUAGCCGACCUGAGAGGUUGACCGGCAACAGGGGGACUGAGACACGGCCCAGACUCCUACGGGAGGCAGCAGUGGGGAAUAUUGCACAAUGGGGGGAAGCAUGAUGCAGCGACGCCGCGUGAGGGAUGACGGCCUGCGGGUUGUAAACCUCUUGCAGUAGGGAAGAAGCGAAAGUGACGGUACCUGCAGAAGAAGCACCGGCUAACUACGUG